CGGGUGAGUAACACGUGGGUGAUCUGCCCUGCACUUUGGGAUAAGCCUGGGAAACUGGGUCUAAUACCGAAUAGGACCACGCGCUUCAUGGUGUGUGGUGGAAAGCUUUUGCGGUGUGGGAUGGGCCCGCGGCCUAUCAGCUUGUUGGUGGGGUAAUGGCCUACCAAGGCGACGACGGGUAGCCGGCCUGAGAGGGUGACCGGCCACACUGGGACUGAGAUACGGCCCAGACUCC
RNAcentral lists this ribosomal RNA (235 nucleotides) under uncultured Mycobacterium sp. RNAcentral describes it as "partial 16S ribosomal RNA". It matches the Rfam family "Bacterial small subunit ribosomal RNA", at positions 103 to 339 of the family's 1533-position model. The record is from RNAcentral. Lineage: Bacteria; Bacillati; Actinomycetota; Actinomycetes; Mycobacteriales; Mycobacteriaceae.